Molecule: ribosomal RNA, 482 nt
Filed under: uncultured bacterium
Lineage: Bacteria
Description: partial 16S ribosomal RNA
Rfam family: Bacterial small subunit ribosomal RNA
Source: RNAcentral
GACGAACGCUGGCGACGUGCUUAACACAUGCAAGUCGAACGCUGAAGCUCAGCUUGCUGGGUGGAUGAGUGGCGAACGGGUGAGUAACACGUGAGUAACCUGCCCUCUUCUUUGGGAUAACGCCCGGAAACGGGUGCUAAUACUGGAUAUUCACUGAUUCUCGCAUGGGGGUUGGUGGAAAGGUUUUUUCUGGUGGGGGAUGGGCUCGCGGCCUAUCAGCUUGUUGGUGGGGUGAUGGCCUACCAAGGCUUUGACGGGUAGCCGGCCUGAGAGGGUGACCGGUCACAUUGGGACUGAGAUACGGCCCAGACUCCUACGGGAGGCAGCAGUGGGGAAUAUUGCACAAUGGGCGAAAGCCUGAUGCAGCGACGCCGCGUGAGGGAUGGAGGCCUUCGGGUUGUAAACCUCUUUCGCUCAUGGUCAAGCCGCAGCUUUGGGUUGUGGUGAGGGUAGUGGGUAAAGAAGCGCCGGCUAACUACGUG